AUUGCUUAAGGGAAAGAGGUUCUCCCAUGGCGUGACUUGCCUGAACUGCCGAAAGGCUGAUGACUUCUGCAAUCGC
Molecule: non-coding RNA, 76 nt
Filed under: Firmicutes bacterium CAG:145
Lineage: Bacteria; Bacillati; Bacillota
Also listed under: 1 other name
Description: Fluoride riboswitch aptamer (crcB RNA motif)
Rfam family: Fluoride riboswitch aptamer (crcB RNA motif)
Source: Rfam by way of RNAcentral